AGUCCUGUGGUCCAACGGCGACGACACCUGUUUUACACGCAGGAGACGAUGGUUCGAUUCUAUCCGGGACUA
RNAcentral lists this transfer RNA (72 nucleotides) under Rhodopirellula europaea 6C. RNAcentral's name for it is "tRNA-Val". It matches the Rfam family "tRNA". From Rfam's summary of the family: Transfer RNA (tRNA) molecules are approximately 80 nucleotides in length. Lineage: Bacteria; Pseudomonadati; Planctomycetota; Planctomycetia; Pirellulales; Pirellulaceae. The record is from RNAcentral.